UACGUAGGGGGCAAGCGUUAUCCGGAUUUACUGGGUGUAAAGGGAGCGUAGACGGCGAUGCAAGCCAGAUGUGAAAGCCCGGGGCUCAACCCCGGGACUGCAUUUGGAACUGUAUAGCUAGAGUGUCGGAGAGGCAGGCGGAAUUCGUGGUGUAGCGGUGAAAUGCUUAGAUAUCACGAAGAACCCCGAUUGCGAAGGCAGCCUGCCGCAGCGUUACUGACGCUGAAGCUCGAAAGCGCGGGUAUCGAACAGG
Molecule: ribosomal RNA, 253 nt
Filed under: uncultured Blautia sp.
Lineage: Bacteria; Bacillati; Bacillota; Clostridia; Lachnospirales; Lachnospiraceae
Description: partial 16S ribosomal RNA
Rfam family: Bacterial small subunit ribosomal RNA
Source: RNAcentral